AGCGGCGGAUGGGUGAGUAACACGUGGGGAACCUGCCCCUAAGUCUGGGAUACCAUUUGGAAACAGGUGCUAAUACCGGAUAAUAAAGCAGAUCGCAUGAUCAGCUUUUGAAAGGCGGCGUAAGCUGUCGCUAAGGGAUGGCCCCGCGGUGCAUUAGCUAGUUGGUAAGGUAACGGCUUACCAAGGCGACGAUGCAUAGCCGAGUUGAGAGACUGAUCGGCCACAUUGGGACUGAGACGCGGCCCAAACUCCUACGGGAGGCAGCAGUAGGGAAUCUUCCACAAUGGACGCAAGUCUGAUGGAGCAACGCCGCGUGAGUGAAGAAGGUUUUCGGAUCGUAAAGCUCUGUUGUUGGUGAAGAAGGAUAGAGGUAGUAACUGGCCUUUAUUUGACGGUAAUCAACCAGAAAGUCACGGCUAACUACGUGCCAGCAGCCGCGGUAAUACGUAGGUGGCAAGCGUUGUCCGGAUUUAUUGGGCGUAAAGCGAGCGCAGGCGGAAAAAUAAGUCUAAUGUGAAAGCCCUCGGCUUAACCGAGGAACUGCAUCGGAAACUGUUUUUCUUGAGUGCAGAAGAGGAGAGUGGAACUCCAUGUGUAGCGGUGGAAUGCGUAGAUAUAUGGAAGAACACCAGUGGCGAAGGCGGCUCUCUGGUCUGCAACUGACGCUGAGGCUCGAAAGCAUGGGUAGCGAACAGGAUUAGAUACCCUGGUAGUCCAUGCCGUAAACGAUGAGUGCUAAGUGU
Molecule: ribosomal RNA, 743 nt
Filed under: uncultured bacterium
Lineage: Bacteria
Description: bacterial SSU rRNA
Rfam family: Bacterial small subunit ribosomal RNA
Source: RNAcentral